RNAcentral lists this ribosomal RNA (759 nucleotides) under uncultured bacterium. RNAcentral's name for it is "bacterial SSU rRNA". It matches the Rfam family "Bacterial small subunit ribosomal RNA", at positions 62 to 804 of the family's 1533-position model. The record is from RNAcentral.
UCGAGCGAAUUUUUGGGAGCUUGCUCCUGAAAAUUAGCGGCGGACGGGUGAGUAACACGUGGGCAACCUGCCUAUAAGACUGGGAUAACUUCGGGAAACCGGAGCUAAUACCAGAUAAUUCUUUUCUACUCAUGUAGAAAAGCUGAAUGACGGUUUACGCUGUCACUUAUAGAUGGGCCCGCGGCGCAUUAGCUAGUUGGUGAGGUAAUGGCUCACCAAGGCCACGAUGUGUAGCCGACCUGAGAGGGUGAUCGGCCACACUGGGACUGAGACACGGCCCAGACUCCUACGGGAGGCAGCAGUAGGGAAUCUUCCGCAAUGGACGAAAGUCUGACGGAGCAACGCCGCGUGAGUGAUGAAGGUUUUCGGAUCGUAAAACUCUGUUGUUAGGGAAGAAUAAGUACGAGAGUAACUGCUCGUACCUUGACGGUACCUAACCAGAAAGCCACGGCUAGCUACGUGCCAGCAGCCGCGGUAAUACGUAGGUGGCAAGCGUUGUCCGGAAUUAUUGGGCGUAAAGCGCGCGCAGGCGGUCCUUUAAGUCUGAUGUGAAAGCCCACGGCUCAACCGUGGAGGGUCAUUGGAAACUGGGGGACUUGAGUGCAGGAGAGAAGAGUGGAAUUCCACGUGUAGCGGUGAAAUGCGUAGAGAUGUGGAGGAACACCAGUGGCGAAGGCGACUCUUUGGCCUGUAACUGACGCUGAGGCGCGAAAGCGUGGGGAGCAAACAGGAUUGGAUACCCUGGUAGUCCACGCCGUA